GCUCCAGUGGCGCAAUUGGUUAGUCGCACGGUACUUAUAAUGCCGAGGUUGUGAGUUCGAGCCUCACCUGGAGCA
Molecule: non-coding RNA, 75 nt
Organism: Glossina fuscipes
Lineage: Eukaryota; Metazoa; Arthropoda; Insecta; Diptera; Glossinidae
Source: the annotation of a RefSeq genome assembly